UGUAGUUUACACGCUGGGGUACGUGGACGUGUCGUUGUGGUGGAUUAUUAUUACCGAUAUUCUUUUAUUUCGGUCUGUUUCAUCAUUAAACGUGUUUCUCUCCCAUCCUGUCAAUCUCGUAUCCCUUUUUGAGGAUGUUGCGGCGGCGGUCCGGUUAUAUAACUGCAGGCGUGAUGACACUAAACACAAACACACGCACACACACGCACACACACGCCGUUUCAUUCACUGUAUCGAUCGCUCUUAUGUUUAUUCUCUCUAAUGUAAUGUGUUGUUUUAGAUGGAAAUGUUGAACAAUGGCACAGGAAGACUUUAGCACUGGAGCGGCCGCAGCCAAGGACAGUGGAUUUGUUGACAUUAAACCUGUCACAGUGGCUACAAUUAUACACUUAUUUAUCUUGUCCUGACACACACACACGAAGGUGAACUGGGUUUAUAAAGUGGUACAAAAGAGCGUUAGAUCUAGAUAUAUAAGUAAGAGUGUGUGUGUGUGUGUGUGUGUCCAACACGGUGGCUGUGUUUUAGUUUCAUUAUGCCACACAAUAGAGCAGGCGAUACUUCCACAUGGACGGUAUUACGAUACACCGGAUAUAUCGCAAUAUACGAUAUUUCACUCGAUCGACAUUUACGUGUCGGUAGCGGAUCGUAAUGCGAAUUCCGUUCACAAGAAAUCGAUCGACAAUUCGGUAAACAAAACGAUUCAUUGCUAAGGGAAUGAACAACAAAGGAGCUUGUGCGUGUGUGAUAAGGCUGAACAACAUGAUGACGAGGUCACGAUAAGACGAUAUCGUCGUACGUCGUGUUCUCUUUUUUUUUCAUCAUUCCAGACCGACCAGAAGAAGUCGAAUUGCCGUCAAAAUUCCGAAUCGAAUUUUAGUCUCGGCCUUGUUUUUGUUGCCGAAACGUUUUUUUUGUUUUCCUUCUUUCGAACUUCUGAUUUGGGUCGUGUUUUUGCAGAUCGUCCCGGACGAGGAAUCGAGCUUUGUGCGUUCUUGUCUUGUGCAUAAACACACCGUAUUUUAAUGUAUUUGUACGUUUAUUUUGGAAUAAUACGAAUAUUUUUAUUUGUUGUCUAAUCUGGCUCCUCCCACCCAGCUAGUUCUGUGUCUUUUGUUGUCUCUUUUAUAUAUAAACACACUUAAAAUAUAUCUGUAUUUUUUAUAGUCUUGUGUAUUAGGUAUUUAUUAGGAACCCAGACACGGCACAUUAUAUAGAGACUGACUGAUGAUCUCUUGUUUUGACGGGCUUUUUUCUUCCUAUCCAUAUGCAUGACGAAACAUUAGCAUUGUAUUGCUGUGUGCUGCCCCGCUGUUAUGGGGUGGGGGGGGGGUGUUUGGUCGACCGGGGUAGUUGCCCCAUUCCUCGGCUGGGUGGCAGUCCGGGAGGUCCAUUGACAUGUAGAACAGCCCUUUUUAAUCAGAAAACCGGCAGGUCUUGCCUUUCUAUACAGUGGGUACGAAUUAUGUGGGCGCGAAGGCGAAGUGUACGGCAAAAACUUUUUAAAUCGUAUGCUAAAUUUACUAUUAUUAGUCAUGCCAUUUUUCUUUGUAUGGAUCUUCAUCAAAAGUGGGCGUGGCCUAAAUAUGAAACACAGGCCCUGUGUGUGUGUGUGUGGGGGGGGGGGGCUGGGAGAUUGUGGCAACGCAUGUGUAAAUUUGUUCUGUAAAAGUUCCUCAGCUUCAAACACAACACCUCAGUUGUACAUCAUUUGCUAAUGAAUUUAUUCAGAUCUUUUUUGCCAAAAUGUAAAUAAACUUGUGGCCUAUUUUAAGCUGCCUCAGCCCUGACCAGGCAGGGGCUAAGCUUCAUAUCUAACCUCUGCAGUUUGGUCUGUAGUUCUCCAGCAUGGCGAAGUGAAAGAGAACAGCUUUACCCAGUGGUAAUGGUAGUCGAUUCCUGAUGGCCGGAGCGAAAGCUUUAACAUACUUCACACUCCAAUAUCCUCUUUUCACUCUGACACACUGGAUACAUACAAUACACCAACGCAGGGGGCAAAAAGAGCCGCUGGGAUCGAGGCUGUACACAGGAAGUGUUGAUCUGCGAGGACCUGAAGCCUGAUUCAGUAGCUGAUCCAGAGCCUGUCUUUGUUGACCGUGUUUGACCCCCAGGCUGAGAGGAGGAGAGAGCGCCACUGCGCUGAGGUCAGCCGUUUAGUUCACACCAUAAAGAGAGCGAGAGAGAGGAAGAGCGGGCCGCGAAGAGAGCGCCGGGGCCGGGGAGGGGCGGGAAACCCGAGUCGGCUCUUAACAAUGACUUAAUUUCGCAUGCAAACGCCUGUGUGUGUGUGUGUGUAUGUGUGUGAGAGAGAGAGAGAGAGAGAGAGAGAGAGAGAGAGAGAGAGAGAGAGAGAGAGAGAGAGAAUGAAGAAUGAAUGAAUGAAUGAAUGAAUGAAUGAAUGAAUGAAUAGGCUCCUUCCACCCGGACCGUAUAGAUUUGUUUUGGAGAUGCAAGAACAAUAUAUGAAAUUAUUAAUUUAUUUAAUCAUUUUAAAUCAUGGGUGCCAAUAAUUCUGGAGGUCACCGAUGGAUGACAUAAGGACUAUGUGGCUAACCGAAACCCAGACCACAUCUCGUUUCCCCAAAAUCACUUUAAAGCGCAAUAUUCAAUACGAAUGGUUCCUAGAUCCAAAAGUAAUGGCACUCCCGCAUAUGAGUGUAGCGUUGCACUGUACAAGUCAGUCAGUAUUGAACAAAUUCACAAAGCUCCCCACGGUGAUACUUGAUCUGCGAUACACAUUCAGAAUCUGUGGUCUUUAAGCCCCGCCUCUUUUUUUUUUUUUUUUAAAUCUGCACCAAUGAGAUGAAGGUGAAAGUUAAAAUUGAAACGUUUUCUCUUCGUAUUGCAGGUUUCGCUAACGACGAAGCUACGUAAAGGUUUUUUAAAUAUCGGUAUCAUGAGAUUUUCGUCUUUUCUCCCUUUCAGUGUAUUUUUGUACCACAGUUAUACUUUUCACUCAUGCCGCCGUUACGCUCCGUCUCUCCUUCAGGUGUGAGAAAGGUGCGUCAUUUUAAAACGAAAGAAACGAAGGACGCGUCACGGUUUUUUUUCCCGGUUCUUCGACGCCACUUGUUAAAUUGUUCUGUGGGAUUUGUUUUGUUUGUUUUUAAUACCAAAGCGAUGCGGCAGGUUCACAGUAAAGUCUCCUGCUUUGUUGCUCUUUGGUCAUAUUUAUUUUAAGUUAUAAUAAAAUGACGGAAAAAACGAA
Long non-coding RNA from Tachysurus fulvidraco (yellow catfish), 3205 nucleotides. RefSeq lists it as uncharacterized. NCBI's taxonomy places the organism in Eukaryota, Metazoa, Chordata, Actinopteri, Siluriformes, Bagridae. The record is from RefSeq and is a predicted model, not a curated record. The transcript has 2 exons.